This 688-nucleotide small RNA is filed under the name uncultured fungus. RNAcentral describes it as "eukaryotic LSU rRNA". The stretch from base 216 to 370 matches the Rfam family "5.8S ribosomal RNA". The record is from RNAcentral. Lineage: Eukaryota; Fungi.
GGAAGGAUCAUUACCGAAUUGUCAACAUGAAGUUGUUGCUGGCCCUCAAAUGGGGGCAUGUGCACACUCUGUUUACACAUCCACUCACACCUGUGCACUCUCUGUAGUACUGUGGUCUGGGGGUUCUGUCCUCCUACUGUGGUUCUGCGUAUUUAUACACACACACUGUAAUAAAGUCUCAUGGAAUGUAUGCCGCGUUUAACGCAAUGAAAUACAACUUUCAGCAACGGAUCUCUUGGCUCUCGCAUCGAUGAAGAACGCAGCGAAAUGCGAUAAGUAAUGUGAAUUGCAGAAUUCAGUGAAUCAUCGAAUCUUUGAACGCACCUUGCGCCCUUUGGCUAUUCCGAAGGGCAUGCCUGUUUGAGUAUCAUGAACACCUCAACUCUCAUGGCUUGCCAUGAUGAGCUUGGACUUGGGGGUUUUGCUGGCCUACAGUCAGCUCCCCUCAAAUGCAUCAGCUUUCCAGUGUUUGGUGGCACCACAGGUGUGAUAAACAUCUACACGUGUGGUUCCCCACCAUGUAACCUUCAGUGAAUGGAGGUUUGCUGGAGCUCACAAAUGUCUUUCCUCAGUGAAGACAGUUCUUUGAUUGUUUGAUCUCAAAUCAGGUAGGACUACCCGCUGAACUUAAGCAUAUCAAUAAGCGGAGGAAAAGAAACUAACAAGGAUUCCCCUAGUAACUGCGAGU